GAUGAACGCUAGCUACAGGCUUAACUCAUGCAAGUCGAGGGGAAACGAUAUUGGAAGCUUGCUUCCGAUAGGCGUCGACCGGCGCACGGGUGAGUAACGCGUAUCCAACCUGCCCACCACUUGGGGAUAACCUUGCGAAAGUAAGACUAAUACCCAAUGACGUCCAUAGAAGACAUCUGAAAUGGAUUAAAGAUUUAUCGGUGAUGGAUGGGGAUGCGUCUGAUUAGCUUGUUGGCGGGGUAACGGCCCACCAAGGCGACGAUCAGUAGGGGUUCUGAGAGGAAGGUCCCCCACAUUGGAACUGAGACACGGUCCAAACUCCUACGGGAGGCAGCAGUGAGGAAUAUUGGUCAAUGGGCGAGAGCCUGAACCAGCCAAGUAGCGUGCAGGAUGACGGCCCUAUGGGUUGUAAACUGCUUUUAUAAGGGAAUAAAGUGAGUCUCGUGAGGCUUUUUGCAUGUACCUUAUGAAUAAGGACCGGCUAAUUCCGUGCCAGCCGCCGCGGUAA
RNAcentral lists this ribosomal RNA (508 nucleotides) under uncultured bacterium. RNAcentral describes it as "partial 16S ribosomal RNA". It matches the Rfam family "Bacterial small subunit ribosomal RNA", at positions 28 to 523 of the family's 1533-position model. The record is from RNAcentral.